Molecule: transfer RNA, 72 nt
Filed under: Phrynosoma platyrhinos (Desert horned lizard)
Lineage: Eukaryota; Metazoa; Chordata; Lepidosauria; Squamata; Phrynosomatidae
Description: tRNA-OTHER
Source: RNAcentral
GUCAGCAUGGUGUAGUGGUUUGAGUGCUGGACUGGGACUCUGGAGAACAGGGUUCAAAUCCCCACUCAGCCA